CUCCUCUGGCAAUGAGAAAAGAGACACCUUGUUGAUAGUGGUGUUUUUAUAUCAAUCAGGGGCAGAGCAGAUGGUAGUCUUUUGUUCAACCUAGCUUGAUGCCUGGCUUAGUCACCAAAGCUUUAUUAUGCCUAGAACACAGAA
This is a small nucleolar RNA of Mastomys coucha (southern multimammate mouse), 144 nucleotides long. RefSeq annotates it as small nucleolar RNA SNORA48. The record is from RefSeq and is a predicted model, not a curated record. Lineage: Eukaryota; Metazoa; Chordata; Mammalia; Rodentia; Muridae. The transcript has a single exon.